RNAcentral lists this long non-coding RNA (249 nucleotides) under Parus major (Great Tit). RNAcentral describes it as "lncRNA (ENSPMJG00000016378.1)". The record is from RNAcentral. Lineage: Eukaryota; Metazoa; Chordata; Aves; Passeriformes; Paridae.
CUUAAUCUGAGAAAGUGUGGUCGCAACUAGUUGUAAUUUUCCUAAGCCAGUAUAAUAAAAAUACAAUGGCUGAAGUUUUUGGAUGCAGGAUGGAGUGUGAUGAAGGAGUCCUUUGGAACACAGGUUCAUUUAUACAGCUCUGGUCUGUGUGAGUCAGACAAGUGGGAGACUUACAGCAAAACAAGAUCUCCAGAAGUGGCCACCUUUCUUCUACUCAGCCAAGAUCUCACAACCCAGACAGAAAGUUGA